This 774-nucleotide ribosomal RNA is filed under the name uncultured Neocallimastigales. RNAcentral describes it as "partial large subunit ribosomal RNA". It matches the Rfam family "Eukaryotic large subunit ribosomal RNA", at positions 23 to 645 of the family's 3401-position model. The record is from RNAcentral. Lineage: Eukaryota; Fungi; Neocallimastigomycota; Neocallimastigomycetes; Neocallimastigales.
AGAGAGAGACAUGCGCGCAUAUCAAUAAGCGGAGGAAAAGAAACUAACUAGGAUUCCCUCAGUAACGGCGAGUGAAGCGGGAAGAGCUCAAAUUUGAAAUCUUCAAGGUUUUACCUUGACGAAUUGUAGUUUAAAGAAGUGUUUUCUGCUGAAGUUUUGGUAAAAGUUCUUUGGAAUAGGACAUCAUAGAGGGUGAGAAUCCCGUAUUUGACCAUUAUUUUCAGCUUUGUGAUACACUUUCAAAGAGUCGGAUUGUUUGGGAAUGCAGUCCAAAAUGGGUGGUAAGUUUCAUCUAAAGCUAAAUAUUGGCGAGAGACCGAUAGCGAACAAGUACCGUGAGGGAAAGAUGAAAAGAACUUUGAAAAGAGAGUUAAACAGUACGUGAAAUUGUCAAAAGGGAAGCGUUUGACACCAGUGUUGUUUUCUCGAAAAUCAAUUAAAAAUGGCUCGAUUUUGUAUUGCUGAGACCUUAAAGGCUCACUGUACAUUUUUCGUGUCUUUUUUAAUGCACUUUUCGUUUAACAAGUCAACAUCAGUUUCUUUUGUUGUAAAAGGGUCAUUGGAAGGUGGCUUUCUUUUCGGAGAAAGUGUUUAUAGCCUUUGGCCUCUGCAAUCGAAGAGACUGAGGUCUGCAGCGUAGACUCUUCGGGGUUAGAUACAUUUGUGCUAAGUUAUAGCUUUUUAUAGACAACUUGUUGACUAUAAUUAGUCUUGUAGCUUACUCGCUUAUGCUAUUUUACCUACGCUUAGGAUGUUGAAGUCAUCGUAUCGCGC